GAUGAAGAACGUAGCGAAAUGCGAUAAGUAAUGUGAAUUGCAGAAUUCAGUGAAUCAUCGAAUCUUUGAACGCACCUUGCGCCCUUUGGCUAUUCCGAAGGGCAUGCCUGUUUGAGUAUCAUGAACACCUCAACUCUCAUGGUUUGCCAUGAUGAGCUUGGACUCUGGGGGUCUUGCUGGCCUAUGGUCAGCUCCUCUCAAAUAAAUCAGCUUGCCAGUGUUUGGUGGCAUCACAGGUGUGAUAACUAUCUAGGCUUGUGGUUUUCCAUCAGGUAACCUUCAGUGAUGGAGGUUCGCUGGAGCUCAUAAAUGUCCCUCCUCAGCGAGGACAGCUUUUUGAACGUUUGAUCUCAAAUCAGGUAGGACUACCCGCUGAACUUAAGCAUAUCAAUAAGCGGAGGA
This 402-nucleotide unclassified non-coding RNA is filed under the name soil metagenome. RNAcentral describes it as "partial contains 5.8S ribosomal RNA, internal transcribed spacer 2, and large subunit ribosomal RNA". The stretch from base 1 to 121 matches the Rfam family "5.8S ribosomal RNA", at positions 35 to 154 of the family's 154-position model. The record is from RNAcentral.